UGUAUCUUUUUUUUUUAAUUGUGAAAAACUUCAAACUUACAGGAAAGAACAUGAUUUACUUGCUCCGUCAAUAUCUCUUUUGAGUUCCACGAGGCUUGCUCAUCACGAUUCUAAAUCAUCGAGAAUCUCAAAGAAAGGAGGAAAGGAUAAAACUUAAAAGAAGAUAGAUCGUCUACACUGAGUUGAGAAAAGUUGCUACAAAGAGAGAACGUCUAGCGGACUCUAAUCCCCCAGUGGAAAGAGGACCCAGCCAUGGCAGGGUUAAGUGCUGCAGGGAUUUCCGGACAGGACUGCAGGGACCCUCGAAUCCCCGCCCCCUCAGCCAUCCAAGCAAUGGGAGCCUCAGAGGCAAGCCAAAUAAUAUCCAAGGAAACCCGGGCUCAGGUUUCAGCAUCUGGAGGAAACGUGAGAUUUUGUUUGGUGACUUGAUAAAGUGGACGCAGGCUUAGCCAGAGGUGGAUAUGUUGGAAGCCCAAGUCAAAGGCUGUUCCUGUUCAGGAGGGAGCAGAUGCCAGACCUGAUUUUUAUUUCUAGACCAAACUCUUUGUGACAAAGCCUCAUGAGCUUGGAAGAGCAAUUUUCCUUCUUCAAACUCUGAGUGCCUAUCACCUCCAUGUCCCUCUCCCUCUCCCUCCCUCCUCCCCCACUUCCCACCACCAGUCUUUUCUUUUCCAUAAUAAAACAGCAAUGUAAUCAGACCGUGGAAUGUAUUUCAGCAUGACAAAUAAACUAAAGCAGCUUGGUUUAUUAGCUGUUUCCAUGGGAGAGAUCUUUUCGGACCAAACAGAUAUUUACAAACAUUACAAGCUCUGAAUUGCUCCAGCAGUGACACGGCUGCCUAGAGAUACAUAGCUGUGCUUUUCUCCACACCCCCUUCAUCUGUGCUGCUCUCAGCCCGG
This 899-nucleotide long non-coding RNA is filed under the name Fukomys damarensis (Damara mole-rat). Its description in RNAcentral is "lncRNA (ENSFDAG00000032370.1)". The record is from RNAcentral. Lineage: Eukaryota; Metazoa; Chordata; Mammalia; Rodentia; Bathyergidae.